GCCGACGUAGUUCAAAGAGCAGAACACCAUGUUUGCCGCAUGGAGAUUCCGGGUGCAAGUCCCGAGCGCCGGCG
Molecule: transfer RNA, 74 nt
Filed under: Bacteriophage sp.
Description: tRNA-Ala
Source: RNAcentral